This 241-nucleotide long non-coding RNA is filed under the name Elaeis guineensis (African oil palm). Its description in RNAcentral is "long non-coding RNA (EGUI_LNC012043)". The record is from RNAcentral. Lineage: Eukaryota; Viridiplantae; Streptophyta; Magnoliopsida; Arecales; Arecaceae.
UAGAGGAUCAAAAGGGAGCCCAAGGGUAUGGUCUCAUCUCUCUCCCAACUCACUCUUUCCCUCCUGAUCCUUAGUUUUCUGACUUAAACAUCGAAGAGUCCCUAUUGGAGCCAACUUCGAUCAAAGACUUAUUUUGCAAAUCAAGCUAUUGCAGUACAGUGCUAGCCACAUCUCUUCUCCAAUCGAGCUGACCUCAGUCAAAAGACCAGUGGCAAUAGAUUAGCACUAGAGGAAGGACCCC